CUGGGCUCCUGUGCCGUAACGUUUCCUUGUGCAGGUUCUGUAUGUUUGAACAGCUAUUUGUGGAUAUGCUCCUUUCCAAACUGUCAAGAGGGAGAAGCAAAGGAAUCACUUUUCAACCUCUGAUCUCCCAAGUAUUCUUAAUGGGCAUGUAUCCAGACAUUUUCAUUAAUGUCCAGGGUGUUCUGGAUGCAGCUGACCUGCAAAUGAUUUACACAAAUGUGUUUUGUGUGUGUGAAGUAAACCCAAGGAACCUGAUACAUAUCAGAUUUACUGCAGUACCAUGUCUCAGUAUGGAUGUAAAAGGAGCAGUGUUUUGGGUGUAUCUAAACCCAUCAGAAAUGC
Gallus gallus (chicken) is the source of this 342-nucleotide long non-coding RNA. Lineage: Eukaryota; Metazoa; Chordata; Aves; Galliformes; Phasianidae. The record is from Ensembl.